UGGUGAGAGUUGUUAGUUCCGUAAGUUCUCUGCGACUCUACCCACAGGAAUUAGUGGAGAGAAGACGAACCAUGAUGGAAGAUUUCCGAAAAUACCGGAAAAUGGCUCAAGAACUCUAUAUGGAGCAGAAAAACGCACGGCUAGAAUUGCGAGGAGGUGUGGACACUGACGAGCUGGACAGCAACGUGGACGACUGGGAGGAGGAGACCAUCGAGUUUUUUGUCACCGAAGAAAUUAUCCCUCUUGGAAACCAGGAGUGACUUGGGAGCGCGGCGGACAGCGAGUGGACGGUGUCCCCUUGUUGCAGCGUCACCGUGUGUUGUGCUGGAACCGAGGUCAUCCUUCUGCAGAAAGCCUGCCCACUGCUGACGUUUCACCUGCGCUUUCUCUCGCCCGGGCUGUGGCCGCGCCUGGGACUCGCCGUCUCCACACGUCGCCGUGCCUUUCAGCCCCUGGUACCCAGGGUGGGGGAGGUUUGCCGGCGCUGCUCUCGGUUUUCUCUCGCUGGGUUUCUAAUCGCGCCCAAGACUGGGCCCCGCCUCACGCGGCCAGCGCCCUCCACAGCCGCGCGGGGUCCCUCCAGGGCUCCCUGGCCACUAGCAGGGAAGCCGCUUGGGGCGCCAGCGCGUCCCCCGCCAUUCAGGUUGUGACAGGUUCUCUCAACAGGCUGAACGUGGAAAUAAAAGCAAACCUGUAUGAAAAAGCUGUCUUUCUCCUGUCUUUGAACGUAGAUAGCGGCCUCGACCUUCAUGCUUCUCCCGUCUGCCACAGUAGCAGCCGCCGCCGGGCUCGGUGCGUCCAGCGCUGCGCUCGAGAGGCAAGGAGGGGCCGUCAGCCUCCCUCCGGGUUUCCUUCUGCUUUGCAGCUGAGCUUUGAAAAGUGAUGCGUCAGCCCGCACACAGUUUCUUCUUUUUUAGUUUUCUGUUUCCUGUGCUUGUCGGUUCACCUGAUGAGGAAGAACCCUUUAGCCUUUUUCUCAGUUACACGGGUUUGGAGACUUACAUUGACAGUUGUCACUUUAGCCACUAGUAUGUGGUCCUGUUUGAAUAUUUAACUCUUCCCCCCGCGGAGGAGGGAGUGAGCAAAUCCAGGUAACUCAGCUCGUUCUCACCUGCAGUGUCCUGCUGCCCUCGGUGCCUUGUGAAGCGGCAGCUUCUUCCACCUCUGUCUCUUUCUCUCCUGGAACCUGAAGCUUAGUUUAAAAAGCAGCGAAGCACGGAACAGGUGCACUUGGAGCUCACAGCCGUGACCUCUGUGUACAGUGGACAGACCUAAGACGACCUUGGGGGGCAGGAGACAGGCAAACGCCUGCCCCCGCAGCCCGGCCGGCUGGUGCGAAGCGGCCCCCGAGCGGCAGGGUCCCCGCUACCCGGCCUCUCCCGUGUGAGCCGGCGCCUCGCGCUCUUCUCCUCUCCGGGCCGGGCCUCUCUCCGCGGCCCCGCGGCCUGCCGUGUAGCUAGCUCAUCCCCGCGCCGCCUCGGAGUCACAGCAAUCCCUGUUUCCUUUCACGUUCUUUCAACUUCACUGUGUCGAGACCUAGUUUCUCUAAUUUCAUGGCAGUAAGAAGGAAAAGGCACAUGGUUCUAUCACAUUAACAGAUUUUUAACAGAGCUUUUGAAAGAUUAACUUUUCACUGUUUUAAACUGGCUAGUUGUAACUUUUACAUAGUUU
This is a long non-coding RNA of Physeter macrocephalus (sperm whale), 1671 nucleotides long. RefSeq lists it as uncharacterized. The transcript has 3 exons. The record is from RefSeq and is a predicted model, not a curated record. Lineage: Eukaryota; Metazoa; Chordata; Mammalia; Artiodactyla; Physeteridae.